GGAGAGGUGGCUGAGUCUGGUCUAAGGCGCCCGCCUGGAGAGCGGGUAGGCAAGCAAUCACUUGCCUCGUGGGUUCGAAUCCCACCCUCUCCGCCA
This 96-nucleotide transfer RNA is filed under the name Bacillota bacterium. RNAcentral's name for it is "Firmicutes bacterium (anaerobic digester metagenome) tRNA-Ser". It matches the Rfam family "tRNA". Rfam says of the family: Transfer RNA (tRNA) molecules are approximately 80 nucleotides in length. Their secondary structure includes four short double-helical elements and three loops (D, anti-codon, and T loops). The record is from RNAcentral. Lineage: Bacteria; Bacillati; Bacillota.